Long non-coding RNA from Zingiber officinale, 1316 nucleotides. RefSeq lists it as uncharacterized. The transcript is spliced from 2 exons. Lineage: Eukaryota; Viridiplantae; Streptophyta; Magnoliopsida; Zingiberales; Zingiberaceae. The record is from RefSeq and is a predicted model, not a curated record.
AUCUCACGGAGCAAUUAGUCGAGUUCUGCUGUGCAACGAAGUCUCCGAAGCUUCUAGUUGUGAAUGCGUGAUAAUUAUGAAGUGGAUAGGCAAGUAGUGGAUGUUAAAUAUGGUUCCCUUGAUUCGUUUCUCUCGACAUGUGGUGAUUAAUAAAUGAACAAGUGAGUAAUGGAUUGUCAGCGGCUGUAUCUUUACGCAUAUGGGAGAAAGUGGGAAGAACGCGAAGGAUCCGACGUGGAGAUGCCUUUCUGAUAGCUAUAUAAGCACUAGAAGAGUGUGCUUGGAUCUCGUCAGGUGGGAGACUGAUCUCUCAUUCUGGAGAGGAGCCUGAGCGAUCGGAAAAAGAGACCAUCAAAAUGACACCGUCUGCGGGAAAUUCCAACAAAAAAGUCAUGAUGUUCUUCUCCGACCGUCUCCUGUGGAACGAGUCAAGAGGUUGAGGUUGAGAUACGAAGGUUGAAGGAAAGAACUACAAAGUCUACUCCGAUGGCCUUCCUAAAGAAUCCACAGAUCUGAGUUUUUCAUCACGUCGGGUUUCAAAAACUUUCAUCCACCAUUGGUAUGAAGAUCUAUCAAUGCCUUGAGGUAAUUGAUUCUCUCUUCAAUAUUUUUUGAUCGAUAUGUUUCUUGAUCAUACUUGGUUUCUCCUUGCGAGUAUCUAUCUUGGUGAUCGUCAAUAUGUGCACGCAAGCUGUUCGUUGAAUUCCCAAAAUGAGAAAAGAGCCAUGAAUAUCCUUCUUUUUCUCCUCAAAUUCACCUCAUUGCCCUAAAGCUUUACACCCUCUGUUUAUUUUGCUCUUCAUGUUGCCAAAUGAUGCUAUCUAUUUCUUAAAUAGAUCCAAGAAAUCUCAGUGAUUUUAGGAAAAGGAAGUAUAGUCGGUCCAUUAAGGAAUAUGUCCAGCCAACACCUACUAUGGAAGGAUCAAUCAUCACUCUUGAAACCAUGACAUCAUCUUUCCAUGUAGAAGAUUAUUUCUUGAUAGUUAGAAGAUAAACAAUCAUUCAUAGAGCGUUGUGAUCGAUCAUCACUAUUGGAACCAUGGCAUCAUCUUUCCAUGUCAUUGAUGCAGAAAUUAUUUCUUGAUAGUUAGAAGAUAAACAAUCAUUAGAAGAUAAUGUUGGGACUGAACUUCCACUUAGUGUGGAUGUUGGGAUUUUCUUCUCUGGAUUGAGCAGUUGAAGUGUGGCACUCCUUGUAGCUAAUUAGUUAUGAUUUUCCAGGAGAUCAUUUCUAGUAUUUCCCUUUUUUCUUGCAAAUAUGUACUGCAGUGUUUGACCGUCAAGAUUAAGAAUGCUAUCAAUUUGUUGGGUUUCCA